CCUACGGGGGGCAGCAGUGGGGAAUAUUGCGCAAUGGGCGAAAGCCUGACGCAGCGACGCCGCGUGAGGGAUGAAGGUCUUCGGAUCGUAAACCUCUGUCAGCAGGGAAGAACGGUCACUGUGCUAAUCAGCAGUGAAUUGACGGUACCUGCAAAGGAAGCACCGGCUAACUCCGUGCCAGCAGUCGCGGUAAUACGGAGGGUGCGAGCGUUAAUCGGAAUUACUGGGCGUAAAGCGCUCGUAGGCGGUAUGUCAAGUCAAGGGUGAAAUCCCCGCGCUCAACGUGGGAACUGCCUUUGAAACUGGCAAACUGGAGUGUGUGAGAGGAUAGUGGAAUUCCAGGUGUAGGAGUGAAAGCCGUAGAUAUCUGGAGGAACAUCAGUGGCGAAGGCGACUAUCUGGCACAUAACUGACGCUGAGGAGCGAAAGCGUGGGUAGCAAACAGGAUUAGAUACCCCAGUAGUC
This 465-nucleotide ribosomal RNA is filed under the name uncultured bacterium. RNAcentral's name for it is "partial 16S ribosomal RNA". It matches the Rfam family "Bacterial small subunit ribosomal RNA", at positions 338 to 795 of the family's 1533-position model. The record is from RNAcentral.